RNA transcript from Rhodamnia argentea, 1290 nucleotides. It is a transcript of the gene named mitogen-activated protein kinase kinase kinase 5-like, with no coding region annotated. The record is from RefSeq and is a predicted model, not a curated record. The transcript has 3 exons. Lineage: Eukaryota; Viridiplantae; Streptophyta; Magnoliopsida; Myrtales; Myrtaceae.
UUAUGACCCGGAUAAAACUGUUUCAACACUAAACUAUCGGGUAUAGAAUAUUUGAACUGCUUAGUAAUUUUAUCAUAUCUGAAAGAAACAUAGGGUGGGAAGUUAACUUUUCACCCUUUGUUGUACAAACUCACCUCAGCCCCACGUUGGGUUAAGAUGUAAAAGAUACAGAAGAAGAUAGAAUUGCAUAGUAAUCACCCUUCACGCAAAUUUACCAGGUGUGCCUCUUUUGACGCCUCAAAGUCGUGGAUAGAUGGAAACCCUACAGCUUCAGCUCUGUUAAUACUGAAGUUGUUGAAAGAACAGAGCAUUUACCAGUAGCAAGGCAAUGGCAAAAAGGCCAGCUUAUUGGACGUUGCACUUUCGAAAGUGUUUACAUUGCAAGCAGCCAAGAAACCAGAGUUCUAUGUGCGUUGAAGGAGUUUGAAUAAUUGCCUAAUGAUCCUAAUUUGGCUGAGUGCCUGAGGCAGUUAAAGCAGGUGAUUUUUUUUUUUUUUUUGGUUAUGCUCUAGGAUCCAAUCUAUCCUCUCAUUUGAUCUAAAUAUGCUGGGGAAACUUUCUUUUUUCAUUUCCAGGUAAUUGAUUACUUGGCUACCUCGAUUUUUUCAACCUGUUACACUGGAAAUUGAAGUACUUAGCCAGCUUAGACAUUAGAACAUUCUGCAGUAUUAUGGCAGUGAAAUUGUUGAGGAUCGGCUUAACAAAUGUCUAGAAUACGCAACGGUUGGAUAAAACCAUAUGCAGGAGCAUCUUGGGGCCCUAACCGAAUUGGCCAUCCGCAAUUUGACCCGCCAUUUUAUGACUGGAUUGGCCUACCUGCAUGUCAACAACUCCAUACAGGGGUAAUUCUAAACAAUUGAUCAAGCAUCAUGGGAUGACUUGCAUAUUGGAUAAGGAUGAUAGACCCCUGGGAAAACUCUUUGGCCUGCAAAGGGAUUUAAAGGGGACUAAUUUAUUUUUCGAUGCAUCUGGGAUAGUCAAACUUCCUGACUUUGGGAUUGCUAAACAUGUGAGUUUCCACCUCUUCACUGCAAGACUAGUGAGAGCAUGUAGAAAUUCCUUGCUGAUUUGUGGUGAAUUUACUGGCGAAGUGAAACCAGGGUGGCUGCUAGAUUAGGUUAGGCGCGGAAAGGAAAAAAUGAGAAAGAAAACAUUGCAAGCUUGUUAUCCUUCGUCUUUGGUCUCUCAAUGGAUACUUUGUUUUUGGUUUGUGGCGUUCAAUCAGUGCAAAAGUCUCUUAUGGAUGGAUGAAAUAUUAGUGAAUGGCUUCCUCACUUUUUUUCCCCUUUU